AUACGUAGGUGACAAGCGUUAUCCGGAUUUACUGGGCGUAAAGGGCGUGUAGGCGGUCUUGCAAGUCAGAAGUGAAAUUCCUGAGCUCGACUCGGGCGCUGCUUCUGAAACUGCAGGACUUGAGUACAGGAGGGGAUGCCGGAAUUCCAGGUGUAGGGGUGAAAUCUGUAGAUAUCUGGAAGAACACCAAUGGCGAAGGCAGGCAUCUGGCCAUGUACUGACGCUGAGACGCGAAGGUGCGGGGAGCAAACAGGUUUAGAUACCCUGGUAGUCCGCACAGUAAACGAUGUGCACCAGGUGGCGGGGGGUCGACCCCCGGUACCGUAGCUAACGCAUUAAGUGCACCGCCUGGGGAGUAUGCUCGCAAGGUUGAAACUCAAAUGAAUUGGCGGGG
This 394-nucleotide ribosomal RNA is filed under the name uncultured bacterium. Its description in RNAcentral is "partial 16S ribosomal RNA". It matches the Rfam family "Bacterial small subunit ribosomal RNA", at positions 523 to 918 of the family's 1533-position model. The record is from RNAcentral.